This 442-nucleotide ribosomal RNA is filed under the name uncultured bacterium. RNAcentral describes it as "partial 16S ribosomal RNA". It matches the Rfam family "Bacterial small subunit ribosomal RNA", at positions 338 to 795 of the family's 1533-position model. The record is from RNAcentral.
CCUACGGGUGGCUGCAGUGAGGAAUCUUCCACAAUGGGCGAAAGCCUGAUGGAGCAACGCCGCGUGCAGGAUGAAGGCCUUCGGGUCGUAAACUGCUUUUAUAAGUGAAGAAUAUGACGGUAACUUAUGAAUAAGCACCGGCUAACUACGUGCCAGCAGCCGCGGUCAUACGUAGGGUGCAAGCAUUAUCCGGAGUGACUGGGCGUAAAGAGUUGCGUAGGUGGUUUGUUAAGUGAAUAGUGAAACCUGGUGGCUCAACCACACAGACUAUUAUUCAAACUGGCAAACUCGAGAGUAGCAGAGGUAACUGGAAUUUCUAGUGUAGGAGUGAAAUCCGUAGAUAUUAGAAGGAACACCAAUGGCGUAGGCAGGUUACUAGGCUAUUUCUGACACUGAGGCACGAAAGCGUGGGGAGCGAACCGGAUUAGAUACCCGGGUAGUC